Molecule: ribosomal RNA, 332 nt
Filed under: uncultured eukaryote
Lineage: Eukaryota
Description: partial 18S ribosomal RNA
Rfam family: Eukaryotic small subunit ribosomal RNA
Source: RNAcentral
CCCUUAGAUGUUCUGGGCCGCACGCGCGCUACACUGUUCGACGCAGCGAGUCUUAACCUUGACCGAAAGGUUUGGGUAAUCUUCAGCAAAGUCGAACGUGAUGGGGAUCGAUCAUUGCAAUUAUUGAUCGUGAACGAGGAAUUCCUAGUAAGUGCAAGUCACCAGCUUGCGCUGAUUACGUCCCUGCCCUUUGUACACACCGCCCGUCGCUACUACCGAUUGAAUGGUUUAGUGAGAUCUCUGGAUUGACGCUGGCUAGGGGGCGACCCUUGGCCAGACUGCUCGAGAAACUGCUCAAACUUGAUCAUUUAGAGGAAGUAAAAGUCGUAACA